CCUACGGGUGGCUGCAGUGGGGAAUAUUGGACAAUGGGCGAAAGCCUGAUCCAGCCAUGCCGCGUGUGUGAAGAAGGCCUUCGGGUUGUAAAGCACUUUCAGUGGGGAAGAAAGCCUUGGGGCUAAUACCCUCGAGGAAGGACAUCACCCACAGAAGAAGCACCGGCUAACUCCGUGCCAGCAGCCGCGGUAAUACGGAGGGUGCGAGCGUUAAUCGGAAUUACUGGGCGUAAAGCGCGCGUAGGCGGUCUGAUAAGCCGGUUGUGAAAGCCCCGGGCUCAACCUGGGAACGGCAUCCGGAACUGUCAGGCUAGAGUGCAGGAGAGGAAGGUAGAAUUCACGGUGUAGCGGUGAAAUGCGGAGAGAUCGGGAGGAAUACCAGUGGCGAAGGCGGCCUUCUGGACUGACACUGACGCUGAGGUGCGAAAGCGUGGGUAGCAAACAGGAUUAGAUACCCUAGUAGUC
Molecule: ribosomal RNA, 465 nt
Filed under: Vreelandella stevensii
Lineage: Bacteria; Pseudomonadati; Pseudomonadota; Gammaproteobacteria; Oceanospirillales; Halomonadaceae
Description: partial 16S ribosomal RNA
Rfam family: Bacterial small subunit ribosomal RNA
Source: RNAcentral